Molecule: ribosomal RNA, 480 nt
Filed under: Actinomyces oris
Lineage: Bacteria; Bacillati; Actinomycetota; Actinomycetes; Actinomycetales; Actinomycetaceae
Description: bacterial SSU rRNA
Rfam family: Bacterial small subunit ribosomal RNA
Source: RNAcentral
AGGGAUGGAGGCCUUCGGGUUGUGAACCUCUUUCGCCAGUGAAGCAGGCCUGCUCCUUUGUGGGUGGGUUGACGGUAGCUGGAUAAGAAGCGCCGGCUAACUACGUGCCAGCAGCCGCGGUAAUACGUAGGGCGCGAGCGUUGUCCGGAAUUAUUGGGCGUAAAGAGCUCGUAGGCGGCUGGUCGCGUCUGUCGUGAAAUCCUCUGGCUUAACUGGGGGCUUGCGGUGGGUACGGGCCGGCUUGAGUGCGGUAGGGGAGACUGGAACUCCUGGUGUAGCGGUGGAAUGCGCAGAUAUCAGGAAGAACACCGGUGGCGAAGGCGGGUCUCUGGGCCGUUACUGACGCUGAGGAGCGAAAGCGUGGGGAGCGAACAGGAUUAGAUACCCUGGUAGUCCACGCCGUAAACGUUGGGCACUAGGUGUGGGGGGCCUUUUCCGGGUCUUCCGCGCCGUAGCUAACGCAUUAAGUGCCCCGCCUGG